GAUAGCACACACCUGUGGUCCUAGAUCCUCAGGAGGGUGAGUAGCUAGGACCACAGGUGUGUACUACUACGCU
Molecule: microRNA precursor, 73 nt
Filed under: Chlorocebus sabaeus (green monkey)
Lineage: Eukaryota; Metazoa; Chordata; Mammalia; Primates; Cercopithecidae
Description: miRNA (ENSCSAG00000026269.1)
Source: RNAcentral